Coregonus clupeaformis (lake whitefish) is the source of this 2661-nucleotide long non-coding RNA. RefSeq lists it as uncharacterized. Lineage: Eukaryota; Metazoa; Chordata; Actinopteri; Salmoniformes; Salmonidae. The record is from RefSeq and is a predicted model, not a curated record. The transcript has 3 exons.
CUUGUACAAAGACUUACUUUUUGUGAAGAUAUUUUCGUAUAAUUAUUUUUGUACCCCAAGACCCAUUGGAAAAGUCCACAACUAUGACAAUUCCCCUUUUUACCUCCCUCCUCUGUUGCAACGUGUUAUGAUGAAAACCAGAGUGCCCCUCAAAGUGAAGGAGCAUGGGCAGUCAGGAGAGAGGCCAAGACUCCUGGAUAAUAUCAACAUAACUCAGUCAGCAUAGGCCUAUCACACAUGGUACUGGACUCUGGACCAACCUCAGACUGUGUGUGUCUGCCAGGGGGGUUAGAACUAGAGUUUUGACCUGAUGGAUGUGCCAGAGGCGUGAGGGAUACCCACUGCAGGUGUCUCCCUUAACAGAGAGAAGAAACGGUCUGGCAGCAAUGACUACAUUGGAAGAAAAGAGGCAUGGCCAGAGAAGAGGUCUGGGAAAAGAGGGAUGGGCUACUGUCUAUCAAGGAUCAGGUGAUUAGGAACGCUGCUCCCUUCUAACAUUCCUGCCCGGCACAGACAGACAAGCCCUAUAUGGGCUGACCCGGAGAGACCAGCCCUCUCCACGGUCCAACCACCGCCAGGAAUGCACAAGCCAGCAAUGCUCAGGAAGAGACAUCGAUCUGACCUGUCUGUCUAUCAGUCUGCUCGUCCCAUGGAUCCAUCCCUUCAUCCGUCAAUCAGUACAUCUCUAUCACUCUAACAGUCCGUCCAAUGGAUCCCUCCUUGAUCUAGGCCUAGAUGUGCCUAUCACUGUAUCAGUGGGACAUCUCAGAGAGUGAUAUGUCUAUUGCCAGGAAUACACAAACAGCAACCUCAGGAAUAGUUGGAGCUCUCUCCUAAACCGGUAAAAGCCGUUACAGAGUAGGAUAAGUUUCCCCUAGUCAUGGUCAGUUUAGCAUCUUUUUCCCUUAACGAUCUAAGUUAGCAGGCCAUGUUGUGGUGGUGUUAGCUCAGCUGGUCCUAGAACUGUGCUUAGAGAGCCUGCUGCACCAUCGAACAACACUGUGAGCCCAUCAGACAGAGACAGGCAGACUCUGAACCCUUCCAAGAGAGUUAAUCUUUAUUUACUGCUCUACACCAAACGUUAGGAGAAGAGAUUUGAAACAAAUGUGUUUCCACUGAUCCCUACAGGGCCUGAUCCAGUUGUGUUUUGAAACUGGGCCAAGCAGCAGUCUGGUAGAGCUGCAGAGGGAAGGACUGCUCUGAGAUCAGUUGAAGUAUGUUUCUCUGAGUGAGACUGAUCCAGGGUGGCAUUAUCUGAUAUUGAUGGGCUACGUAAGGUAGAGGCUGGACACAAGGUAGCCAAUGCGCAAUGCUCAACAUUGUUAUCAGACAUUUCUACAGUGCACAAUUAGUAACACCAUCAACCAUUGGCCAGGUGGAAGGAAUAAGGAUAUGACACUGCAGUGACUGGCCAUCAUAGAUGCUUUGUGAUGAAGGCAUCAUGUCGAAUCAGGAUGACCGCCGUUUAACUCAGAGCUCUCUCUCCAGGUGAGACAUCAGCACUCUGGAUAAGAGACGGAAUACAGAAAGAAGCUCGGUAUUCCGAGCGGAGUGAUCGGAAUACACAUUCAUCUUCCGGUUAAUCCUCUCGGAAAACAGGGAGAGUGAGAGGGCAAAGGGCCUGACACAUUCCUUCCACCUCCCGCCCGGAGAAAGGGAUGAAGAUGGAUAGAGAGAGAGGGAGGAGAAGGAGGAGGAGGGAUACAGUGAUAGAACAAUCCUCUUGGAAUUUCUCUUGAAGAUAUGCUCUGGAAUUUAAAGCUGUCUCAGGUAGAGAGAGAUGGGAAGAAUCUGACAACAGUGUCAUGUAUGGAAAAAUAACUCAUAUAGGCCUGUACAGACAAUGGUGUAUCAUGCAUAUAGUAUGAAACAAAUGCAUAUUACACUUAAUCUUUCACAUAGGGUAUUUGGAAAUGAUCACUUUUAGUCCAGGAAGGCCAUGGAGUCAGCUAGGUUUGAUUGACAAAUGUCUCGGCUGCUUGUUUGAAUACCAGAAGGUAAAAAGACAGCAACCAGCGGACGACAAUGUCUUUGAGUGUUGUCUGUGUCUGUGCUCGUUAUCAGUAUAGAAAAGUGGACACAUGGUUUUCCGUAACCAUGCUCACUCACAGAAUUUUUCCCUCUGAAUUGUAGGCCAAGUCACUGUCUAUACCAUGUGCCAUUCUCUAGCUGUGGACAUCUACACAUUCCUGCACGGUCAGCAUGUUCAAUCCCAAAGCCUCUCAAGACUUCCUAAUUCUAUCGCCACUGAUUCCAAACUUACUGUACCAUAAAUACAUCAGAUUGCAUCUGAUCGUACUUCUGAUUUUCUGCCUUACUUUAGCUGUUACUGAGGUAUUCUCCCUCCCCUGGCCUAGUGCUACACUACAUACAGUAGACCUACCAUCACACCUUAGCUGUUACUGAGGUAUUCUCCCUCCCCUGGCCUAGUGCUACACUACAUACAGUAGACCUAGCAUCACACCUUAGAAGCCCAAUGCAUGCAAUUUCUUGCAUGGUGUUAUCAGAAAGUCUGUUAUUUUCGGUAAUACGACCGGAAGCGUUCUUACUAAUUGCGUGCCAUAUAUUUACCUCGCCUUAAAUCACGUAAAGAAUUUCUCCGGGUAGAGGAGGAUGGAGAGAUGUGGAGCGGAGAAGACUGAAGAUGUAUAAUGUGUAGGU